RNAcentral lists this ribosomal RNA (254 nucleotides) under uncultured bacterium. RNAcentral's name for it is "partial 16S ribosomal RNA". It matches the Rfam family "Bacterial small subunit ribosomal RNA", at positions 524 to 776 of the family's 1533-position model. The record is from RNAcentral.
UACGUAGGGUGCGAGCGUUGUCCGGAAUUACUGGGCGUAAAGAGCUCGUAGGUGGUUUGUCGCGUUGUUCGUGAAAACCGGGGGCUUAACCCUCGGCGUGCGGGCGAUACGGGCAGACUUGAGUACUGCAGGGGAGACUGGAAUUCCUGGUGUAGCGGUGAAAUGCGCAGAUAUCAGGAGGAACACCGGUGGCGAAGGCGGUUCUCUGGGCAUUACCUGACGCUGAGGAGCGAAAGUGUGGGGGAGCGAACAGG